UNGUUAGCUCACCCACAGCCUCCAGAUGCC
This 30-nucleotide non-coding RNA is filed under the name Homo sapiens (human). Lineage: Eukaryota; Metazoa; Chordata; Mammalia; Primates; Hominidae. The record is from RNAcentral.